UUUGUGAAGAGUUUGAUCCUGGCUCAGGAUGAACGCUGGCGGCGUGCCUAAUACAUGCAAGUUGAGCGGUAAGGCUUUCACAGAUUAUUUAACCGGAUAAGUCCCUAGGGAUACUAUCCGUAACCGGAGUUUACUGGCUAGUAAACACCAGUUGAAUGAUGUGUGAAAGUACACGAGCGGCGGACGGCAGAGUAACGCGUAGGAACGUACCCCAAAGUGAGGGAUAAGCACCGGAAACGGUGUCUAAUACCGCAUAUUCUCUUCGGAGCAAAGCCUUGUGCGCUUUGGGAGCGGCCUGCGUAUGAUUAGUUAGUUGGUGAGGUAACGGCUCACCAAGACGACGAUCAUUAGCUGGUCUGAGAGGAUGAUCAGCCUGACUGGAACUGAGACACGGUCCAGACUCCUACGGGAGGCAGCAGUAGGG
This 424-nucleotide ribosomal RNA is filed under the name Candidatus Saccharimonadota bacterium. Its description in RNAcentral is "bacterial SSU rRNA". It matches the Rfam family "Bacterial small subunit ribosomal RNA", at positions 1 to 359 of the family's 1533-position model. Lineage: Bacteria; Candidatus Saccharimonadota. The record is from RNAcentral.